AACAAACGCUGGCGGCGUGCCUAAUACAUGGAAGUCGAACGGGGAAAGCUGUCGGGUGAGUACUAGUGGCGCACGGGUGAGUAACGCGUGGAUAAUCUGCCUUGAGUGGGGGAUAACUAGUCGAAAGAUUAGCUAAUACCGCAUAAGACCACGGGGACUGAGGGUCUAGGGGUUAAAGGUUUUUCGCUCAUAGAUGAGUCCGCGUGAGAUUAGCUAGUUGGUGAGGUAACGGCUCACCAAGGCGACGAUCUCUAACUGGUCUGAGAGGAUGAUCAGUCACACUGGAACUGAGACACGGUCCAGACUCCUACGGGAGGCAGCAGUAGGGAAUAUUGCACAAUGGAGGAAACUCUGAUGCAGCGACGCCGCGUGAGUGAUGAAGGCCUUCGGGUCGUAAAGCUCUGUCGCAGGGGAAUAACACAAUGAAUGUACCCUGUAAGAAAGGAUCGGCUAACUUCGUGCCAGCCGCCGCGGUAA
RNAcentral lists this ribosomal RNA (477 nucleotides) under uncultured bacterium. RNAcentral describes it as "partial 16S ribosomal RNA". It matches the Rfam family "Bacterial small subunit ribosomal RNA", at positions 29 to 523 of the family's 1533-position model. The record is from RNAcentral.